GUCGAGUACUUCACUCGUUUCAAAACAAACGUUUGACCGUUCAUUUUAUUAAUAAAAAAAAAUUUAUGAUUACUUUUUUUAUUAUUAGAUGGUAAAACAUAAAUAGUAUUUUAUGUGUGACUAUUUUUUUUAAUUUUUUUAAAUAAAAUAAACGGUUAAACGUUGAACACGGAUAUUUACGGCAUCACUUAUU
RNAcentral lists this microRNA precursor (193 nucleotides) under Oryza glumipatula. RNAcentral describes it as "MIR812 microRNA precursor family". It matches the Rfam family "MIR812 microRNA precursor family". The record is from Rfam by way of RNAcentral. Lineage: Eukaryota; Viridiplantae; Streptophyta; Magnoliopsida; Poales; Poaceae.